This is a long non-coding RNA of Notothenia coriiceps (black rockcod), 2425 nucleotides long. RefSeq lists it as uncharacterized. The record is from RefSeq and is a predicted model, not a curated record. The transcript is spliced from 3 exons. Lineage: Eukaryota; Metazoa; Chordata; Actinopteri; Perciformes; Nototheniidae.
GGUGUGAACGCAAAAUCCCAAUAACUAUCGGAACUAUUCCUGGGAAAAGUACUCCGGUGUGAAAGCGCCUAUUGUGGAUCAGACACUGUUUUGGUUUGGGGGGAUUUAUUACAGUUAAAGGGGCAGAACGUCCCUAUCUUCAUGCAGACUAAACACUGUGUGAACAGAUUUCAGUAAGAAGUAUUUCAUGCUUAAGACGGGUAGCGUUUUUUUAAUAUCUAGAAUGAAUGUGAAAACAUUUGAUACAGCACAGUGACAAUGAGACCCUAAAUGUGUCUAAUGUUUAAAUCCUGCACAGACAGACAUUACUCAUUAGUUUAUUUUUGGUUUUUUCAUGUUGAUUCACCUCUGAAAGGAGCUCAAGGGGUUAACACAAUCAAAUUCAAGUAUACUUUAUUGUAAAAGCUUCUUUACUGUAACAUUAAAAUGCUUUAAGAUAAGAGAUUCAGCCUGAAGACAACACACUGGAGAUAAAAGUACAAAUGGUAAAAAAUUAUUAUGACCAGUUUCCAGAUUGAGCGGUCAAUAAUAAACCUGAAGUGCAGAUUUCCGUCACAUUUACAUUGUUCUUUCCUGCUUUUCUAUCAUUCCCUUCUAUGUGGUUAAAGCUUCACUUGAGCACCACAACACCUGUGUGUAUACGCUUUAGUUGUAGUUGUCUCUCACAGGAUGAAAAGUGUUUGGGUUCCUUGCUCGUCAUCGACGUCUGGAGACUGAAAAAUGACCGAUAUUGGCCAAAAAGGAUGAAGCUGAGGUAGCAACUACCAUGCCUGAGAGACCUGUCCAUCAAGGUUUCCCAAGGGGACGCUACUGAGAAGCUGGCUCACCAAGUCGCGGCCCAGGUUGCUGCUGCUCAUCGCAGGGUUGAAGAGGCCUCAGGUGACCCUCAUGAGGAGGAAAAGGAUGAAGCGCACAAAAGUAGCAAAGGCCACGUAAGCGAACCUGCAGUCGGAUGCCGCACUUCACUUGAGACCUUUGAGGGGAGGGUCUGCUCGUUAGAUAUGGAAGACAAAGAAGAGGGAGACCUGUGUGUUGGAUCUUUGCCCCAGCAACAAACUAUAAUCCAGGGAUCACAAAACAGGGUGAAGCAAGAGGACGAACCACAGAGAUUGAGACCCCCAGAUUAAUCCGGAUUACACCCACAACCUGGACUACAACUUCACCCCCUAUUCAAAUAUGCACCUGUUUUGGCUCAUUAGACUCUAAUGACUGUAGCUUGUACUUCAUUCCUAUCCAAAGACAAACUGUCCCUGUGUUUUUAGUUCAGCCUGUUUCAGCUUUCCAGCUCCGUGUGUUUUAGUCUCAGAAAAGUCAAAACCUGCUGCUGAUUGAAGUCUGACGAGACGCUCACUGCUGCCUCACAUUCUUCGGUCAGAUAAUAAUUUAACAAGUAGCUUUAACUAUGGAUGUUUGAUGGGAACUGGAUACGGCGCUGUCGCUCAACCUUGCUUCCAAUUAUUCCCACCGGCCACUUGUGGUGUUGAAAGGACACCUUGCUUUGCAAACAAGGUCUUUCUCUUGUGGAUUUUUCAAUGCAUGGAGGUUUUAUAUUUCUGUAUCAAGCCGAAAGAAGCAAUUUUAAAAUCUUCAAUGUAAAGUCUCCGGGAAGACCAAGAACUUGCGGGUAGUGACAGCGGGACCACAUUUCACAAAAGUAAACUCAGAAGCUAUAAAAACUAUUUUGGCGUAUGUGCCAUGCAAAAUGCCUUCGCUUAUCCAGUUCUUAUAUAUCUAUUACCUUCAAACAAUACGAAAGCAUCACAUGACAUACACCACAAAAUGUGGAUGUUUUAUCGUUCAACUGUUGCCGGUAUUAACAUUUGUAAUGCAGAAAUUCAGACACUGUAAUGAGAAUUUAAGGUUGCUAAUCGCACCAAUCACGAUUUAAAAAAAAACUGAAAAAAGUGGGUUAAUUUGAUUUGCUGUUGUUGCUGGACCUCCACUCGAGGAACGUUAAUUGACUUAUAAGACACAUGUGCAAACUGGAGCUUCUGGGUAUUAGACAAACUUAAUGUGUUUUUCUUUUCAUUUUAUUUUUCAUAAAGUUGGUAGAAUACGUUUUGGAACGAACCGCUUAUUUUGUGUGCGUUUGUCAGUACAUUGUGAAACCAGCUUCAUGUGGGAGGUUUGAACCUCGCUUUGCCAAAUAGAUAAUAUUUUCUUAGCAGCCUCAGGAAAUGGAAUUUUCAGCAGCUACCAAUGUUGGGAAAUUGAAAUGGCAUCCAGCCAAAAAUGUCCUUUUACUAGUAUUUGACAGAGAGUUGUGUUGGUUGAGAGAGGUCCUAGUUAAUCACCAUGUCAGAUACUGGAACGUCAUCAAUGGGAACAUCUUUAGAAAGAACUGGGGCUUAAUGGUGUGCUUAAAACUAGUUUGAUUUAUUUGAAGCAUUUAAUAAAAUGGAAAUGCAUUUUUCUUUUGACCAAG